This 507-nucleotide ribosomal RNA is filed under the name uncultured bacterium. Its description in RNAcentral is "partial 16S ribosomal RNA". It matches the Rfam family "Bacterial small subunit ribosomal RNA", at positions 28 to 523 of the family's 1533-position model. The record is from RNAcentral.
GAUGAACGCUGGCGGCAUGCCUUACACAUGCAAGUCGAACGGCAGCGGGGGAGAAGCUUGCUUUUCCUGCCGGCGAGUGGCGAACGGGUGAGUAAUACAUCGGAACGUGCCCUGUAGUGGGGGAUAACUAGUCGAAAGAUUAGCUAAUACCGCAUACGACCUGAGGGUGAAAGUGGGGACCGCAAGGCCUCAUGCUAUAGGAGCGGCCGAUGUCUGAUUAGCUAGUUGGUGGGGUAAAGGCCUACCAAGGCGACGGUCAGUAGCUGGUCUGAGAGGACGAUCCGCCACACUGGGACUGUGACACGGCCCAGACUCCUACGGGAGGCAGCAGUGGGGAAUUUUGGACAAUGGGCGAAAGCCUGAUCCAGCAAUGCCGCGUGUGCGAAGAAGGCCUUCGGGUUGUAAAGCACUUUUGUCCGGAAAGAAAUGGCUCUGGUUAAUACCUGGGGUCGAUGACGGUACCGGAAGAAUAAGGACCGGCUAACUACGUGCCAGCCGCCGCCGUAA